AAGAGUUUGAUCAUGGCUCAGGAACAACGGCUGGCGGCAUGCCUAACACAUGCAAGUCGAACGAAGUCUUCGGACUAGUGGCGCACGGGUGCGUAACGCGUGGGAAUCUGCCCUUGGGUGCGGAAUAACUUCUCGAAAGGGAUGCUAAUACCGCAUAAUGUCGUAAGACCAAAGAUUUAUCGCCCAAGGAUGAGCCCGCGUAAGAUUAGCUAGUUGGUGGGGUAAAAGCCUACCAAGGCGACGAUCUUUAGCUGGUCUGAGAGGAUGAUCAGCCACACUGGGACUGAGACACGGCCCAGACUCCUACGGGAGGCAGCAGUGGGGAAUAUUGGACAAUGGGCGAAAGCCUGAUCCAGCAAUGCCGCGUGAGUGAUGAAGGCCCUAGGGUUGUAAAGCUCUUUUACCAGGGAUGAUAAUGACAGUACCUGGAGAAUAAGCUCCGGCUAACUCCGUG
Molecule: ribosomal RNA, 454 nt
Filed under: uncultured bacterium
Lineage: Bacteria
Description: bacterial SSU rRNA
Rfam family: Bacterial small subunit ribosomal RNA
Source: RNAcentral